CUGCCCCUGUCAGGGGGACAACCCGCCGAAAGGCGGGCUAAACCCGCGUACAUGCCACCGGGGCAUCCCGGAGGCAGGAAAGGCUUCGGCCGGACAGGGAUGGGCAUGCGGCGCAUUAGGCAGUAGGCGGGGUAACGGCCCACCUAACCGACGAUGCGUAGGGGUUCUGAGAGGAAGGUCCCCCACACUGGUACUGAGACACGGACCAGACUCCUACGGGAGGCAGCAGUGAGGAAUAUUGGUCAAUGGUCGGGAGACUGAACCAGCCAAGCCGCGUGAGGGAUGAAGGUACAGAGUAUCGUAAACCUCUUCUGUCAGGGAACAAAGGCGGGGACGUGUCCCCGGAUGAGUGUACCUGAAGAAAAAGCAUCGGCUAACUCCGUGCCAGCAGCCGCGGUAAUACGGAGGAUGCGAGCGUUAUCCGGAUUUAUUGGGUUUAAAGGGUGCGCAGGCGGUCUGUUAAGUCAGCGGUCAAAGCCCGGGGCUCAACCCCGGCCCGCCGUUGAAACUGGCAGUCUCGAGUUGGAGAGAAGUAUGCGGAAUGCGCGGUGUAGCGGUGAAAUGCAUAGAUAUCGCGCAGAACUCCGAUUGCGAAGGCAGCAUGCCGGCUCCACACUGACGCUGAGGCACGAAAGCGUGGGUAUCGAACAGGAUUAGAUACCCUGGUAGUCCACGCAGUAAAC
RNAcentral lists this ribosomal RNA (683 nucleotides) under uncultured bacterium. RNAcentral's name for it is "bacterial SSU rRNA". It matches the Rfam family "Bacterial small subunit ribosomal RNA", at positions 126 to 807 of the family's 1533-position model. The record is from RNAcentral.